GCGGCAGGCUUAACACAUGCAAGUCGAGGGGCAGCAUGGGACGGAGAUUCGUCGAAGUCCUGAUGGCGACCGGCGCAAGGGUGCGUAACGCGUGAGCAACUUGCCCGUUUCUGGGGAAUAACCGGUGGAAACGCCGACUAAUACCCCAUGGCAUCAAUGAGAGGCAUCUUUUGUUGAUUAAAGAUUUAUCGGCAAAGGAUGGGCCUGCGUCUGAUUAGCUAGUUGGUGGGGUAACGGCCUACCAAGGCGACGAUCAGUAGCCGGACUGAGAGGUUGGACGGCCACAUUGGGACUGAGACACGGUCCAGACUCCUACGGGAGGCAGCAGUGAGGAAUAUUGGUCAAUGGUCUGACGACUGAACCAGCCAUGCCGCGUGAAGGUGACGGCCCUAUGGGUCUUAAACUUCUUUUGUAAGGGAGCAAUAAGUCUCACGUGUGGGAUGAUGAGAGUACCUUACGAAUAAGCAUCGGCUAACUCCGUG
This 482-nucleotide ribosomal RNA is filed under the name uncultured bacterium. RNAcentral describes it as "bacterial SSU rRNA". It matches the Rfam family "Bacterial small subunit ribosomal RNA", at positions 39 to 507 of the family's 1533-position model. The record is from RNAcentral.